Molecule: ribosomal RNA, 301 nt
Filed under: uncultured bacterium
Lineage: Bacteria
Description: partial 16S ribosomal RNA
Rfam family: Bacterial small subunit ribosomal RNA
Source: RNAcentral
CAGUAGCCACGGUAAUACGAAGGGGGCUAGCGUUGUUCGGAUUUACUGGGCGUAAAGGGCGCGUAGGCGGACUGAUAAGUCAGGGGUGAAAUCCCAAGGCUCAACCUUGGAACUGCCUUUGAUACUGUUUGUCUUGAGUUCGAGAGAGGUAAGUGGAACUGCGAGUGUAGAGGUGAAAUUCGUAGAUAUUCGCAAGAACACCAGUGGCGAAGGCGGCUUACUGGCUCGAAACUGACGCUGAGGCGCGAGAGCGUGGGGAGCAAACAGGAUUAGAUACCCGAGUAGUCCCUGUCUCUUAUAA